GCCUGGGUGGCUCAGUCGGUUGAGUGUCUGACUUCGGCUCAGGUCACGAUCUCGCGGUUUGUGAGUUCGAGCCCCGCGUCAGGCC
Molecule: transfer RNA, 85 nt
Filed under: Felis catus (domestic cat)
Lineage: Eukaryota; Metazoa; Chordata; Mammalia; Carnivora; Felidae
Rfam family: tRNA
About the family: Transfer RNA (tRNA) molecules are approximately 80 nucleotides in length. Their secondary structure includes four short double-helical elements and three loops (D, anti-codon, and T loops).
Source: Rfam by way of RNAcentral